AGUGGCGAACGGGUGAGUAAUAUAUCGGAACGUACCUUGUAAUGGGGGAUAACUAGUCGAAAGAUUAGCUAAUACCGCAUACGCCCUGAGGGGGAAAGUAGGGGAUCUUCGGACCUUACGUUAUAAGAGCGGCCGAUAUCUGAUUAGCUAGUUGGUGGGGUAAUGGCCACCAAGGCGACGAUCAGUAGCUGGUCUGAGAGGACGACCAGCCACACUGGAACUGAGACACGGUCCAGACUCCUACGGGAGGCAGCAGUGGGGAAUUUUGGACAAUGGGCGCAAGCCUAAUCCAGCCAUUCCGCGUGAGUGAAGAAGGCCUUCGGGUUGUAAAGCUCUUUCGCAAGGGAAGAAAACUUACAUUCUAAUAAAGUGUGAGGUUGACGGUACCUUGAUAAGAAGCACCGGCUAACUACGUGCCAGCAGCCGCGGUAAUACGUAGGGUGCGAGCGUUAAUCGGAAUUACUGGGCGUAAAGCGUGCGCAGGCGGUUUUGUAAGUCAGAUGUGAAAUCCCCGAGCUCAACUUGGGAACUGCGUUUGAAACUACAAGACUAGAAUAUGUCAGAGGGGGGUAGAAUUCCACGUGUAGCAGUGAAAUGCGUAGAGAUGUGGAGGAAUACCAAUGGCGAAGGCAGCCCCCUGGGAUAAUAUUGACGCUCAUGCACGAAAGCGUGGGGAGCAAACAGGAUUAGAUACCCUGGU
This 700-nucleotide ribosomal RNA is filed under the name uncultured beta proteobacterium. Its description in RNAcentral is "bacterial SSU rRNA". It matches the Rfam family "Bacterial small subunit ribosomal RNA", at positions 94 to 791 of the family's 1533-position model. The record is from RNAcentral. Lineage: Bacteria; Pseudomonadati; Pseudomonadota; Betaproteobacteria.